GAGUUUGAUCCUGGCUCAGAUUGAACGCUGGCGGCAUGCCUUACACAUGCAAGUCGAACGGCAGCACGGGAGCUUGCUCCUGGUGGCGAGUGGCGAACGGGUGAGUAAUGCAUCGGAACGUAUCCCGGAGUGGGGGAUAACGUAGCGAAAGUUACGCUAAUACCGCAUAUUCUGUGAGCAGGAAAGCGGGGGACCUUCGGGCCUCGCGCUCUUGGAGCGGCCGAUGUCGGAUUAGCUAGUUGGUGAGGUAAAGGCUCACCAAGGCGACGAUCCGUAGCAGGUCUGAGAGGAUGAUCUGCCACACUGGAACUGAGACACGGUCCAGACUCCUACGGGAGGCAGCAGUGGGGAAUUUUGGACAAUGGGGGCAACCCUGAUCCAGCCAUGCCGCGUGAGUGAAGAAGGCCUCGGUU
Molecule: ribosomal RNA, 413 nt
Filed under: bacterium enrichment culture clone ALO1_GLFRUDD03FTTRS
Lineage: Bacteria
Description: bacterial SSU rRNA
Rfam family: Bacterial small subunit ribosomal RNA
Source: RNAcentral